This 253-nucleotide unclassified non-coding RNA is filed under the name uncultured fungus. RNAcentral describes it as "sequence contains ITS1". Lineage: Eukaryota; Fungi. The record is from RNAcentral.
GUAUUAAUUGCGUGUUAUCGCAAGAGACAUUCUACACUGUAUCGAGUUUGUGUGAAAACGCAAGCCCCCCUCCCGGAUCGGUUUGAUCCCAAAGGGUUGCCCACGCGGUGGUGCACAAAAGGGUGAGAUGGAUUUUUAUGUGAGAGGACACACUCUGGCGUGCACGACUCUUGUGGUAAAAGUCAGCGACAGCCCUCGCAUGCCUCACACAUUUUGUACGAUAAUGAUCCUUCCGCAGGUUCACCUACGGAAA